This 468-nucleotide ribosomal RNA is filed under the name uncultured bacterium. RNAcentral describes it as "partial 16S ribosomal RNA". It matches the Rfam family "Bacterial small subunit ribosomal RNA", at positions 28 to 507 of the family's 1533-position model. The record is from RNAcentral.
GAUGAACGCUGGCGGCGUGCUUAACACAUGCAAGUCGAACGGAAAGGCCCAAGCUUGCUUGGGUACUCGAGUGGCGAACGGGUGAGUAACACGUGGGUGAUCUGCCCUGCACUUCGGGAUAAGCCUGGGAAACUGGGUCUAAUACCGGAUAGGACGAUGGUUUGGAUGCCAUUGUGGAAAGUUUUUUCGGUGUGGGAUGAGCUCGCGGCCUAUCAGCUUGUUGGUGGGGUAAUGGCCUACCAAGGCGUCGACGGGUAGCCGGCCUGAGAGGGUGUACGGCCACAAUGGGGAUGAGAUACGGGCCAGACUCCUACGGGGGGCAGGAGUGGGGAAUAUUGGACAAUGGGGGCAAGGCUGAUGCAGCGACGCCGCGUGGGGGAUUACGGCCUUCGGGGUGGAAACUCCUUUCGCUAGGGACGAAGCGUUUUUGUGACGGUACCUGGAGAAGAAGCACCGGCUAACUACGUG